GUAUUCCUAAUAGUAAGUGGUAAGCUAUAUCAUUGUGACAGAAUGAAGGCUGGGUUCGAUUCCCAGGGAAUACGC
This 75-nucleotide transfer RNA is filed under the name uncultured phage cr29_1. Its description in RNAcentral is "tRNA-Val". It matches the Rfam family "tRNA". From Rfam's summary of the family: Transfer RNA (tRNA) molecules are approximately 80 nucleotides in length. Their secondary structure includes four short double-helical elements and three loops (D, anti-codon, and T loops). Further hydrogen bonds mediate the characteristic L-shaped molecular structure. tRNAs have two regions of fundamental functional importance: the anti-codon, which is responsible for specific mRNA codon recognition, and the 3' end, to which the tRNAs corresponding amino acid is attached (by aminoacyl-tRNA synthetases). tRNAs cope with the degeneracy of the genetic code in two manners: having more than one tRNA (with a specific anti-codon) for a particular amino acid; and 'wobble' base-pairing, i.e. permitting non-standard base-pairing at the 3rd anti-codon position. Lineage: Duplodnaviria; Heunggongvirae; Uroviricota; Caudoviricetes; Crassvirales; Darmviridae. The record is from RNAcentral.